GCCGACGUAGCUCAGUUGGUAGAGCAGCGGUUUUGUAAACCGCAGGUCGUAGGUUCAAGCCCUAUCGUUGGCU
RNAcentral lists this transfer RNA (73 nucleotides) under Candidatus Endomicrobiellum devescovinae. RNAcentral describes it as "tRNA-Thr". It matches the Rfam family "tRNA". From Rfam's summary of the family: Transfer RNA (tRNA) molecules are approximately 80 nucleotides in length. The record is from RNAcentral. Lineage: Bacteria; Pseudomonadati; Elusimicrobiota; Endomicrobiia; Endomicrobiales; Endomicrobiaceae.